ACCCACUCCAGUGUUCUUGCCUGGAGAAUCCCAGGGAAGGGGGAGCCUGGUGGGCUUCCAUCUAUGGGGUUGCACAGAGUCGGACACGAUUGAAGCGACUCAGCAGCAGCAGCAGCAGUAAAUGAAUGCAGAGGCCUUGUGAGUUAUGAAUAAAUCUAUACUGGAAGACAAUAUCACAAGAGCAUUGAUAUACACUUUGGAGUCAGACAAACCCGAGCAGAAAUCAUAGUGAAAGCUUAGAUCUGGACCAGACUGGGCCAAUCUCUACUGUGUCUGUGGAGUGGGAGAAGUGCCUGGACAUGGAACUACUGACUGGUUCCAAAUUGGGAAAGGAGUACCUCAAGGCUGUGUAUUGUCACCCUGCUUAUUUAUCUUAUAUGCAGAGUACUUCAUGGCAAAUAGAUGGGGAAACAAUGGAAACAG
Molecule: long non-coding RNA, 423 nt
Organism: Bubalus bubalis (water buffalo)
Lineage: Eukaryota; Metazoa; Chordata; Mammalia; Artiodactyla; Bovidae
Exons: 3
Source: RefSeq, a predicted model, not a curated record